GUAUUAAAGGUGUUGCCUGCCCAGUGAAACAAUUUCAACGGCCGCGGUAUCCUAACCGUGCAAAGGUAGCGUAAUCACUUGUCUUUUAAAUAAAGACUCGUAUGAAAGGCUAAAUGAAGACGAGCCUGUCUCUUGUAGUUGGCCAGUGAAACUGAUCUCCAAGUACAAAAGCUUGGAUAAUUACAUAAGACGAGAAGACCCUGUGGAGCUUAAAACUAACGCUAUCUCAACAAAUAGUUCAAGUUUUAAGUUGGGGCGACUUCGGAACAAAACAAAACUUCCGAGCACAGAGCCGCUAACUCUAUCCAAGACCAACAAGUCAAAGAACAAUAAUGACCCAGUCAUACUGAACAACGAACCAAGUUACCCCAGGGAUAACAGCGCCAUCUUCUUUAAGAGUCCCUAUCGACAAGAAGGUUUACGACCUCGAUGUUGGAUCAGGACACCCAAAUGGUGCAGCAA
This 462-nucleotide ribosomal RNA is filed under the name Carlia johnstonei. RNAcentral describes it as "partial 16S ribosomal RNA". It matches the Rfam family "Bacterial large subunit ribosomal RNA", at positions 1843 to 2561 of the family's 2925-position model. Lineage: Eukaryota; Metazoa; Chordata; Lepidosauria; Squamata; Scincidae. The record is from RNAcentral.